GAUGAAGAACGCAGCGAAAUGCGAUAAGUAGUGUGAAUUGCAGAAUUCAGUGAAUCAUCGAAUCUUUGAACGCACAUUGCGCCCCCUGGUAUUCCGGGGGGCACACCUGUUCGAGCGCCAUUUCUACCCUAGAGCCCUGCUCUGUGAUGGGCCCCGUCCUCGCGGACAGGCCCGAAACCCGUGGGCGCCGUCGUCCGGCCCUGAGCGUAGCAAGAGAAAUCCCUCGCUCGGAGUGUCUGUCGGUGGCCGCCCCGAAACCUAUUUUUACAAGGUUGGCCUCGGAUCAGGUGGGGAUACCCGCUGAACUUAAGCAUAUCAAUAAGCGGAGGA
Molecule: unclassified non-coding RNA, 330 nt
Filed under: soil metagenome
Description: partial contains 5.8S ribosomal RNA, internal transcribed spacer 2, and large subunit ribosomal RNA
Rfam family: 5.8S ribosomal RNA (bases 1-120)
Source: RNAcentral